UACGUAGGGGGCAAGCGUUGUCCGGAAUCAUUGGGCGUAAAGCGCGUGUAGGCGGUUCGGUAAGUCUGCUGUGAAAGUCCAGGGCUCAACCCUGGGAUGCCGGUGGAUACUGUCGGACUAGAGUACGGAAGAGGCGAGUGGAAUUCCCGGUGUAGCGGUGAAAUGCGCAGAUAUCAGGAGGAACACCGAUUGCGAAGGCAGCUCGCUGGGACGUAACUGACGCUGAGACGCGAAAGCGUGGGGAGCAAACAGG
This 253-nucleotide ribosomal RNA is filed under the name uncultured bacterium. RNAcentral's name for it is "partial 16S ribosomal RNA". It matches the Rfam family "Bacterial small subunit ribosomal RNA", at positions 524 to 776 of the family's 1533-position model. The record is from RNAcentral.